Gossypium arboreum is the source of this 265-nucleotide long non-coding RNA. RefSeq lists it as uncharacterized. The record is from RefSeq and is a predicted model, not a curated record. The transcript is spliced from 2 exons. NCBI's taxonomy places the organism in Eukaryota, Viridiplantae, Streptophyta, Magnoliopsida, Malvales, Malvaceae.
UUUACUAUAUACGUAAUAAUAAUUUCAUUAUGUAGGACCGUGAGUGAGUUGGAGCAACCAGCAGGCAAAAAUAAAAAUUCACGCACACGGUAGGGUCGAGAAGUUUUGCUUCUGUAGCUGAGGCCGAGGAAGUCAAAUCUGGACAAAAAGUUGGACGCCUUCAGCUUUUUGAGAUUACGCAUAGGAAGAAAGAUAGAUCUCCUAUGACAUCCGAAGCUGGAGAAAUUAUGGUAUAUUUACUUAAUAAUAUUUGAUUUAUUCUAAA